Non-coding RNA from Arachis ipaensis, 637 nucleotides. NCBI's taxonomy places the organism in Eukaryota, Viridiplantae, Streptophyta, Magnoliopsida, Fabales, Fabaceae. The record is from RefSeq and is a predicted model, not a curated record.
UCACCUUAUACAACAUCUAAUUGUAAAAGAAAAUGAGUCAAAAAAGAGUGAAGAAACUACCAAAACUCUUUCUUAAUAAGAUCCUUUAUAUGUUCACCAUAUCUUUGAUCUUUCAUGUUUCUAUUGUUUUCCUGUGUUAUGAAGUUUCUAUAAGUUUCCAGCGUUAUCUUGUUGCUCAAAAUGACUAUACUAUAGUAUUUAUUAAUUGUAAUUGUAGAACUCAUUUAUUGUGACCAAUUCCAAUCAGUGGUACAAAUCUAUGUAGUAUCUACUGUAUACAUAUUAUUGCCUUUCAAAUGAAAUAAUUGACUUCUACACAUAAAUAAAUAGGCGCCCAAAGCGGCUACGCCACUUUGACUUUGUGCAUGUGACAUGAUAGUGGUGAAUGAUGCUAAUCCUCACAACAUUAAAUAUGCUAAGAGAAGAGGAUAGGGAUCAGGGCCUCUUAUCCUAUUUGAGUGAUUAAUCAGUUUUUGUUAAGGAAUGUGAAUCAAGCAAUAAUGACUCUAAAUCAAAAGUAUAAUGUAAGAGGAACACUCAGCGAGAUGUUAAGCAAUAUUGGAAGUAUUUUCACUGAUCUUGUUUACCAUGGCCGUGUGAAACAUGCUUCUAUGUAAUUACACUACAAAAGAAAGAA